RNAcentral lists this unclassified non-coding RNA (203 nucleotides) under Hevea brasiliensis (rubber tree). The record is from RNAcentral. Lineage: Eukaryota; Viridiplantae; Streptophyta; Magnoliopsida; Malpighiales; Euphorbiaceae.
AGGAUCACCAGGCAUGAAAGAUGAUGGACGCAUGCCCAGUGCCUCCCCUAAAGGUUUAGUUUCCAUCAUUUUGGGAGGGCUAAAGGAAUCACUGAAGCUUCCACUCCAUGAUGCAGUUCGUCGAGAUUGAGAUGGUAUGGGGACAUUGCCAUUUACUGUUCUCUCUCUUCUUGUAAUAUUAUCCAUGCUUGGGCAUCUUUGCA